UACGGGGGGGGCAAGCGUUGUUCGGAAUUACUGGGCGUAAAGGGCUCGUAGGCGGCCAACUAAGUCGGAUGUGAAAUCCCUAGGCUUAACCUGGGAACUGCAUCCGAUACUGGAUGGCUUGAAUCCGGGAGAGGGAUGCAGAAUUCCAGGUGUAGCGGUGAAAUGCGUAGAUAUCUGGAGGAAUACCGGUGGCGAAGGCGGCAUCCUGGACCGGCAUUGACGCUGAUGAGCGGAAGCUAGGGGAGCAAACGGG
This 253-nucleotide ribosomal RNA is filed under the name uncultured bacterium. RNAcentral describes it as "partial 16S ribosomal RNA". It matches the Rfam family "Bacterial small subunit ribosomal RNA", at positions 524 to 776 of the family's 1533-position model. The record is from RNAcentral.